GGAACACCCAUCGGUAUAAUGCAAUACAUUUUUUUCCGACAUUAUAACCAUAAACCUUCAGGAUUUGCUGCUGGACUGUUUUAUUAGAUUGAUUUACUUUGAGUUAAGUACACCUAACUGGCUACUGAACUGUACUCAAUUACUACUCGUAAAAGUAAAAGCAUCAACAUGUAUCGGAUGUAUUAGGAGUAAAAUUAACUUAGGUAUCAAAAGUAUGCAUUGUGCAACCGUUUUUAAUGAAGCUACAGUAUAUCACAGUAUUGUGUUAUUAUCAUUCGCAUUAUUAUUGAUUUAAAAUGCAUUUUCUUUGACAUACUGUUGGCCAGUUAAUUCUAUAAGAAUGCAUCACAGUUUGAACACUAAUCACACGAUAUAAAAUCACAUCCAUACACAUAAAUUCAUUGUGAUCACCUGGUGAAUGGGACUGCCAUGUUUACUCUGCUUUAGCUUUUCAGCUGCUAAACGCUCCACUCUGUUCCUGUCUGUGUGUCUCUGCCUGAACUGCAGCAGUGACGAUGCUGUGCAAAGAACAAGAGUGAACCAAAGCAGAAAAGUUGCAGGACCAGACUGUUGAAGCGACGGGCCGAAACUCAUUAUGAAGCUGCACCUUCGGGCGCACACCAUUUGCACGGAAGAUUCCUCCGAAAUCCCGAAAUGCAUUGACACCGAGUCGCCGCCCCAACGAUCUCUAUUCGACUAAUUAAGCCAAUUAACCUACUGAAACAAUUUCGGCGAGGCCGCUGCACCAGCUCGCCAACGCUGGCUGAAACCCUGAAGAAAAGCUACGUGGAACAGUUUCUACCUGCAUGCGGACAAGCUGUUGACGCGACGGAAAAAGAGGCCAAGAAAGACAAAACCGACCGCCGGGCAUGUGUAUCAGAGAGCUGCGGCGGUGAUCUGUUGUCUGUACUCUCGAAAACGACGGACCAGAAAUGAUGUCGUUAGGCCAAAAAUGAUUUCAAAUGACUAACACGGAGCAGAGACAACGUGUCAUUGAGAGAACAGGGCCUGGUGUAUCUCCGGGCAGCCCAAGGUGUGCAGAGUGGAGCAGGGAGAGGCGUGGACGGCGUGUCAUGCAAGGACAAGACGGUGACAGGGCAAAUAUGGUGGAUGGGAGCGUUAAUGUGUGUGUGUGUGUGUGUGUGUGUGUGUGUGUGAGUGUGUGCAUGUACUUGUUAGUGAAUGUGCAUGUGUGUUGGAGGAAGAAUAGAGGGAGAACAAGAAGGAGAGAACGAGGGAAAGAGAGGUGUGAUAUCAUCAAUUAAAUAACCCUCCCACACAGCAUCUGGUGCUCUCUCUCUCUCUCUCUCUCUCUCUCUCUCUCUCUCUCUCUCUCUCUCUCAGGCCGUCUGUCUGGCCCUGUUCAGACCUGGCAUCAGUUUGCGUCUUGGGUGAUUCGAUGACAAGUGGAUCGUCAGCUCCGAGGGCUUUUUCAUACUUUACGUGCGCCUGGAGUGACCACGGGUGAUCAGGUCUCACUUCACAAGUCAUUAAGCUGUGUAACAUGAUGCACAUCAUUGCUGUUGGCAAAGACCAAUUACAGUAUGUUGUUGUUUUUUAGCCUGGCCGACUAUGACAUUUGUGUGUGUGUGUGUGUGUGUGUGUGUGUGUGUGUGUGUGUGUGUGUGUGUGUGUGUGUGUGUCUGUUUUCAGAUUCACAUAAGGAGAACGCAGCAGGUGAUUGUCCUGGUCAGAUGCAUUCACAAAAGCGGGACAACUCCAGAACAUUCAGGUGAGGGGGGCAUUGCGCCUGGGCAUAGCGUCCACCUGGUUGGCUGCGAAUUUUCCUGCUGUAUUCUUACAUGGGCUCACUUGGAUAUUUUGCAGACAUUUCUAUUAUAAGGGGACGGGCAAUAAAAGUCACGCAAUGAUCCUCGGCGACAUUUGCGGACAUUUGCUGUCUUCGCAUACAGCCCUUCUGGAAAAGUUCAGAAAAAUGCCUGAGCAUGCUCAUUAGCCUGGGUCACAGUUCGGCUUCACACCAGCUGCUUCUCUGAGCAACGCAUCCUCCAUCAUCCACCUCAAAAAGAAUAUUCACAGGUUAGCUCGAAUGCGGCAGCUGAAGGGAGGCGAAGAGAGUUAAUGUAACCAAGUGGAAGAGCGCUGAGAGGCGAACCACUGACCGCACAUUAACCGGGCAGAUGUGCACACUAUUGUUAUGCUGCUAAUUAAUUCCUGACUCGUGUUAACUCGGUUCGGGCUUCCUCUGCGAUUCAGUGAGACUUUUUCCAUGCUAAUGAGACGACUGUCCUCUCCGUCCUCCCGUGCCUCACCGUCUUCGCUCCCCCUCCGUCAGUCUGAUUGUAGAAUGAGGCCGCAGUUCAUGUGUGUCGCGGAAAUACUAGUGUGAGAUCGAAUGAUGAGGAUCAAGACAACUUUUAUAUAUUAAUAGACAGAAUCCAAUUAUAAGUUUCUGUGAACUGAGCUAGCUGGAAAAAAAUGAAUUUGCAUUUUAACAUUUCAGUUUGAUGUUAGAUUCUAAGAUGAGAGAGGAGGAG
Molecule: long non-coding RNA, 2498 nt
Filed under: Scophthalmus maximus (turbot)
Lineage: Eukaryota; Metazoa; Chordata; Actinopteri; Pleuronectiformes; Scophthalmidae
Description: lncRNA (ENSSMAG00000022643.1)
Source: RNAcentral